AGAGUUUGAUCAUGGCUCAGAACGAACGCUGGCGGCAUGCCUAACACAUGCAAGUCGAACGAACCCUUCGGGGUGAGUGGCGCACGGGUGCGUAACGCGUGGGAACCUGCCUUUAGGUUCGGAAUAACAGUUAGAAAUGACUGCUAAUACCGGAUAAUGUCUUCGGACCAAAGAUUUAUCGCCUUUAGAUGGGCCCGCGUUAGAUUAGGUAGUUGGUGGGGUAAUGGCCUACCAAGCCGACGAUCUAUAGCUGGUCUGAGAGGAUGAUCAGCCACACUGGGACUGAGACACGGCCCAGACCCCUACGGGAGGCAGCAGUGGGGAAUAUUGGACAAUGGGCGAAAGCCUGAUCCAGCAAUGCCGCGUGAGUGAUGAAGGCCUUAGGGUUGUAAAGCUCUUUUACUAGGGAUGAUAAUGACAGUACCUAGAGAAUAAGCUCCGGCUAACUCCGUGCCAGCAGCCGCGGUAAUACGGAGGGAGCUAGCGUUGUUCGGAAUUACUGGGCGUAAAGCGCGCGUAGGCGGCUUUUUAAGUCAGAGGUGAAAUCCCAGGGCUCAACCCUGGAACUGCCUUUGAAACUGGAAAGCUAGAAUAUUGGAGAGGUAAGUGGAAUUCCGAGUGUAGAGGUGAAAUUCGUAGAUAUUCGGAAGAACACCAGUGGCGAAGGCGACUUACUGGACAAUUAUUGACGCUGAGGUGCGAAAGCGUGGGGAGCAAUCAGGAUUAGAUACCCUGGUAGUUCCACGCCGUAAACGAUGAUAACUAGUUGUCCGGGCUCUUAGAGCUUGGGUGACGCAGCUAACGCAUUAAGUUAUCCGCCUGGGGGAGUACGGUCGCAAGAUUAAAACUCAAAGGAAUUGACGG
Molecule: ribosomal RNA, 864 nt
Filed under: uncultured bacterium
Lineage: Bacteria
Description: bacterial SSU rRNA
Rfam family: Bacterial small subunit ribosomal RNA
Source: RNAcentral